CGGGUGAGUAACGCGUAGACAACCUGCCGUAAAGAUGGGGACAACAGUUCGAAAGGACUGCUAAUACCGAAUGUUGUAGAGUUUCCGCAUGGGAAUCCUACUAAAGGUGGCCUCUACUUGUAAGCUAUCGCUUUACGAUGGGUCUGCGUCUGAUUAGCUAGUUGGUGGGGUAACGGCCUACCAAGGCGACGAUCAGUAGCCGGUCUGAGAGGAUGAACGGCCACAUUGGAACUGAGACACGGUCCAGACUCCUACGGGAGGCAGCAGUGGGGAAUCUUCCGCAAUGGGCGCAAGCCUGACGGAGCAACGCCGCGUGAGUGAAGAAGGGUUUCGACUCGUAAAGCUCUGUUGUCGGGGACGAAUGUCGAGAUGGUGAAUAACCAUUCCGAAUGACGGUACCUGACGAGGAAGCCACGGCUAACUACGUGCCAGCAGCCGCGGUAAUACGUAGGUGGCGAGCGUUGUCCGGAAUUAUUGGGCGUAAAGGGAGCGCAGGCGGGAAGGUAAGUCUAUCUUAAAAGUGCGGGGCUCAACCCCGUGAGGGGAUAGAAACUAUCUUUCUUGAGUGCAGGAGAGGAAAGCGGAAUUCCUAGUGUAGCGGUGAAAUGCGUAGAUAUUAUGAGGAACACCAGUGGCGAAGGCGGCUUUCUGGACUGUAACUGACGCUGAGGCUCGAAAGCGUGGGGAGCGAACAGGAUUAGAUACCCUGGUAGUCCACGCCGUAAACGAUGAAUGCUACGUGUAGGAGGUAUCGACCCCUCCUGUGCCGGAGUUAACGCAAUAAGCAUUCCGCCUGGGGAGUACGGCCGCAAGGCUGAAACUCAAAGGAAUUGACGGGGGCCCGCACAAGCGG
Molecule: ribosomal RNA, 853 nt
Filed under: bacterium IARFR1842
Lineage: Bacteria
Description: bacterial SSU rRNA
Rfam family: Bacterial small subunit ribosomal RNA
Source: RNAcentral